GGUCCCGUGGCUCAGUGAAGAGCGUCCCCGUUCACACCGGGGAGGUCGCUGGUUCGAUCCAGCCGGGACCA
Molecule: transfer RNA, 71 nt
Filed under: Rhodococcus (subgen. Prescottella) equi
Lineage: Bacteria; Bacillati; Actinomycetota; Actinomycetes; Mycobacteriales; Nocardiaceae
Description: Rhodococcus hoagii tRNA-Val
Source: RNAcentral